Molecule: ribosomal RNA, 1056 nt
Filed under: uncultured organism
Description: bacterial SSU rRNA
Rfam family: Bacterial small subunit ribosomal RNA
Source: RNAcentral
UAAACCACGGUCAGUUGGGGACGAAUAAAGGACGGUACCCACAGAGGAAGAAUCGGCUAACUACGUGCCAGCAGCCGCGGUAAGACGUAGAAUGCAAGCGUUGUCCGGAAUUAUUGGGCGUAAAGCGUUCGUAGGCGGCAUGCCAAGUCUGAUGUCAAAGCCCGGAGCUCAACUCCGGUUCGGCAUUGGAUACUGGCAAGCUAGAGUGCAGGAGAGGCAAGGGGAAUUCCUAGUGUAGCGGUGAAAUGCGUAGAUAUUAGGAGGAACACCAGUGGCGUAAGCGCCUUGCUGGACUGUAACUGACGCUGAGGGACGAAAGCCAGGGGAGCAAAUGGGAUUAGAUACCCCAGUAGUCCUGGCCGUAAACGAUGGAUACUAGGUGUCGCGGGUAUCGACCCCUGCGGUGCUGCAGCUAACGCAAUAAGUAUCCCGCCUGGGGAGUACGCACGCAAGUGUGAAACUCAAAGGAAUUGACGGGGACCCGCACAAGCGGUGGAACAUGUGGUUUAAUUCGAAGCAACGCGAAGAACCUUACCAGGGCUUGACAUCCCGAGAACUUUCCAGAGAUGGAUUGGUGCCCUUCGGGGAACUCGGUGACAGGUGGUGCACGGUUGUCGUCAGCUCGUGUCGUGAGAUGUUGGGUUAAGUCCCGCAACGAGCGCAACCCUCGUUGUUAGUUGCCAGUAAGAGCCUGCUCUUGCUGUGCUCUCUAGCGAGACUGCCGGUGAUAAACCGGAGGAAGGUGGGGACGACGUCAAAUCAUCAUGCCCCUUAUGUCCUGGGCUACACACGUGUUACAAUGGGUAGGACAGCGAGCAGCCAACCAGCAAUGGUGAGCAAAUCUCUUAAACCUACUCUCAGUUCGGAUCGCAGUCUGCAACUCGACUGCGUGAAGUCGGAAUCGCUAGUAACCGUAGAUCAGCACGCUGCGGUGAUACGUUCCCGGGUCUUGUACACACUGCCCGUCACACCAUGGAAGCUGACCACGCCCGAAGUCGGUGAGCUAACUCUUUGAGGAGCAGCCGCCUAAGGCAGGGUUGGUACCUGGGGUGAAGU